RNAcentral lists this ribosomal RNA (218 nucleotides) under uncultured bacterium. RNAcentral's name for it is "partial 16S ribosomal RNA". It matches the Rfam family "Bacterial small subunit ribosomal RNA", at positions 326 to 539 of the family's 1533-position model. The record is from RNAcentral.
ACGCUCGACACCUACGGAAGGCAGCAGUGAGGAAUAUUGGUCAAUGGGCGCUAGCCUGAACCAGCCAAGUAGCGUGAAGGAUGAAGGCUCUAUGGGUCGUAAACUUCUUUUAUAUAAGAAUAAAGUGCAGUAUGUAUACUGUUUUGUAUGUAUUAUAUGAAUAAGGAUCGGCUAACUCCGUGCCAUCAGCCGCGGUAAUCUGAGCGGGCUGGCAAGGC